UGGUUACCUCUGUGUUGUAGCUAACGCGUUAAGCACUCCGCCUGGGGACUACGGUCGCAAGACUAAAACUCAAAGGAAUUGACGGGGACCCGCACAAGCGGUGGAGCAUGUGGUUUAAUUCGAUGCAACGCGAAAAACCUUACCACUUCUUGACAUGGAGGCUAGAUCCUUCUUAACAGAAGGGCGCAGUUCGGCUGGGCCUCGCACAGGUGCUGCAUGGCUGUCGUCAGCUCGUGUCGUGAGAUGUUGGGUUAAGUCCCGCAACGAGCGCAACCCUCAUCCUUAGUUACCAGCGGGUAAUGCCGGGCACUUUAAGGAAACUGCCAGUGAUAAACUGGAGGAAGGUGGGGAUGAUGUCAAGUCAGCACGGCCCUUAUGGGGUGGGCUACACACGUGCUACAAUGGCGACUACAAUAGGUUGCAAUGUCGCAAGA
This 434-nucleotide ribosomal RNA is filed under the name uncultured Anaplasma sp. RNAcentral describes it as "bacterial SSU rRNA". It matches the Rfam family "Bacterial small subunit ribosomal RNA", at positions 832 to 1262 of the family's 1533-position model. Lineage: Bacteria; Pseudomonadati; Pseudomonadota; Alphaproteobacteria; Rickettsiales; Anaplasmataceae. The record is from RNAcentral.